AACAACAAGUUAGGUUGUGAGCUUGUAAAACAACCGGCUGUAAUCUGAGGGAUUAUAGUGAAAUUCCCAAGAGGUCUUGGGAAGUGGAUGUAGGUGCUGGGGUGCACCGAACCACUAUACGUUUGUUGUGUUUGUGAUGCUUUAUUUUAUUGUUUAAUUUUCUCACUUACUUACUUAGAUAAAUAUCUAAUUGAAUUGCUUGCUUAACUCUUAUCCGCGCAUCCUUUAGUUGCAAGUAUAUUCAAAUUGUUUAAUCAAGUUUCUUUUAAUAAAACUGCAUUAAGAUUCAUUAUAUUGAAAUGCUUGCUUGGAGAAAUCUAGACUAAUUGUUUAUUGAGUCCGCUCAUUAAUAAUUUUAAUCUUGAUCAGAUUAGAAUCAAACUAUUGCUAAGUUUAAAUUCCACUGUGCAUCUAUACAACUUAGCUUAAUUAAUCGAAAAGUUUAGAAGUAGUUGAAAAGUUUUAAAAGA
Molecule: long non-coding RNA, 470 nt
Filed under: Phoenix dactylifera (date palm)
Lineage: Eukaryota; Viridiplantae; Streptophyta; Magnoliopsida; Arecales; Arecaceae
Description: long non-coding RNA (PDAC_LNC010585)
Source: RNAcentral